UCACUAAUGUUGCAGGUCACGAUGGCACCAAAACACCAUCUAACUUUCACCCCCGCAUCUCAACAAGUCCGAUGCAUACUCCAUCCACCUCCGCAUUAGCUUCGGCUUCGCAGGCACAUACUUCUCCUACCGGCAUAUCUAAGCCUCUACUGAUAGCCACGUCGCCAGCCUGUGCAUCUCCGACACAUACUCCACCCAUCGAUCUAGCUCCACCGAUAUCCACAUC
RNAcentral lists this long non-coding RNA (226 nucleotides) under Elaeis guineensis (African oil palm). RNAcentral's name for it is "long non-coding RNA (EGUI_LNC042534)". The record is from RNAcentral. Lineage: Eukaryota; Viridiplantae; Streptophyta; Magnoliopsida; Arecales; Arecaceae.